UACGAAGGGGGCUAGCGUUGUUCGGAAUCACUGGGCGUAAAGCGCACGUAGGCGGAUCUUUAAGUCAGGGGUGAAAUCCCGAGGCUCAACCUCGGAACUGCCUUUGAUACUGGGGAUCUCGAGUCCGGGAGAGGUGAGUGGAACUGCGAGUGUAGAGGUGAAAUUCGUAGAUAUUCGGAAGAACACCAGUGGCGAAGGCGACUGACUGGACAAGUAUUGACGCUGAGGUGCGAAAGCGUGGGGAGCAAACAGG
Molecule: ribosomal RNA, 253 nt
Filed under: uncultured bacterium
Lineage: Bacteria
Description: partial 16S ribosomal RNA
Rfam family: Bacterial small subunit ribosomal RNA
Source: RNAcentral